This 523-nucleotide ribosomal RNA is filed under the name uncultured bacterium. RNAcentral describes it as "bacterial SSU rRNA". It matches the Rfam family "Bacterial small subunit ribosomal RNA", at positions 356 to 896 of the family's 1533-position model. The record is from RNAcentral.
GGGGAAUAUUGGACAAUGGACCGAGAGUCUGAUCCAGCAAUUCUGUGUGCACGAUGAAGUUUUUCGGAAUGUAAAGUGCUUUCAGUUGUGAAGAAAAAAAUGACGGUACCAACAGAAGAAGUGACGGCUAAAUACGUGCCAGCAGCCGCGGUAAUACGUAUGUCACGAGCGUUAUCCGGAUUUAUUGGGCGUAAAGCGCGUCUAGGUGGUUAUGUAAGUCUGAUGUGAAAAUGCAGGGCUCAACUCUGUAUUGCGUUGGAAACUGAAUAACUAGAGUACUGGAGAGGUAAGCGGAACUACAAGUGUAGAGGUGAAAUUCGUAGAUAUUUGUAGGAAUGCCGAUGGGGAAGCCAGCUUACUGGACAGAUACUGACGCUAAAGCGCGAAAGCGUGGGUAGCAAACAGGAUUAGAUACCCUGGUAGUCCACGCUGUAAACGAUGAUUACUAGGUGUUGGGGGUCGAACCUCAGCGCCCAAGCAAACGCGAUAAGUAAUCCGCCUGGGGAGUACGUACGCAAGUAUG